Molecule: transfer RNA, 69 nt
Filed under: Dyscophus insularis (Antsouhy tomato frog)
Lineage: Eukaryota; Metazoa; Chordata; Amphibia; Anura; Microhylidae
Description: tRNA-Lys
Source: RNAcentral
CAUCCAGAAGCUAUAGAUUAGCAACAGCCUUUUAAGCUGUAGAUAGGUGAACCCGACCACCCUUGAUGA